RNAcentral lists this ribosomal RNA (337 nucleotides) under uncultured Pseudomonadota bacterium. RNAcentral's name for it is "bacterial SSU rRNA". It matches the Rfam family "Bacterial small subunit ribosomal RNA", at positions 29 to 351 of the family's 1533-position model. The record is from RNAcentral. Lineage: Bacteria; Pseudomonadati; Pseudomonadota.
AACGAACGCUGGCGGCGUGCUUAACACAUGCAAGUCGAACGCGAAAGGGACUUCGGUCCUGAGUAAAGUGGCGCACGGGUGAGUAACGCGUGGAUAAUCUACCCGAUGAUCCGGGAUAACAUUUCGAAAGGGGUGCUAAUACCGGAUAAGACCACGGGCUCUUCGGAGUCUGCGGUAAAAGGUGGGGACCUUCGGGCCUACCGUUAUCGGAUGAGUCCGCGUACCAUUAGCUAGUUGGUGGGGUAAGAGCCUACCAAGGCGACGAUGGUUAGCUGGUCUGAGAGGAUGAUCAGCCACACUGGAACUGAGACACGGUCCAGACUCCUACGGGUGGCAG